RNAcentral lists this ribosomal RNA (1360 nucleotides) under uncultured bacterium. Its description in RNAcentral is "bacterial SSU rRNA". It matches the Rfam family "Bacterial small subunit ribosomal RNA", at positions 28 to 1381 of the family's 1533-position model. The record is from RNAcentral.
AUUGAACGCUGGCGGCAGGCCUAACACAUGCAAGUCGAGCGGUAGCACAGAGAGCUUGCUCUCGGGUGACGAGCGGCGGACGGGUGAGUAAUGUCUGGGAAACUGCCUGAUGGAGGGGGAUAACUACUGGAAACGGUAGCUAAUACCGCAUAACGUCGCAAGACCAAAGUGGGGGACCUUCGGGCCUCAUGCCAUCAGAUGUGCCCAGAUGGGAUUAGCUAGUAGGUGGGGUAAUGGCUCACCUAGGCGACGAUCCCUAGCUGGUCUGAGAGGAUGACCAGCCACACUGGAACUGAGACACGGUCCAGACUCCUACGGGAGGCAGCAGUGGGGAAUAUUGCACAAUGGGCGCAAGCCUGAUGCAGCCAUGCCGCGUGUGUGAAGAAGGCCUUCGGGUUGUAAAGCACUUUCAGCGGGGAGGAAGGCGAUAAGGUUAAUAACCUCAUCGAUUGACGUUACCCGCAGAAGAAGCACCGGCUAACUCCGUGCCAGCAGCCGCGGUAAUACGGAGGGUGCAAGCGUUAAUCGGAAUUACUGGGCGUAAAGCGCACGCAGGCGGUCUGUCAAGUCGGAUGUGAAAUCCCCGGGCUCAACCUGGGAACUGCAUUCGAAACUGGCAGGCUAGAGUCUUGUAGAGGGGGGUAGAAUUCCAGGUGUAGCGGUGAAAUGCGUAGAGAUCUGGAGGAAUACCGGUGGCGAAGGCGGCCCCCUGGACAAAGACUGACGCUCAGGUGCGAAAGCGUGGGGAGCAAACAGGAUUAGAUACCCUGGUAGUCCACGCCGUAAACGAUGUCGAUUUGGAGGUUGUGCCCUUGAGGCGUGGCUUCCGGAGCUAACGCGUUAAAUCGACCGCCUGGGGAGUACGGCCGCAAGGUUAAACUCAAAUGAAUUGACGGGGGCCCGCACAAGCGGUGGAGCAUGUGGUUUAAUUCGAUGCAACGCGAAGAACCUUACCUGGUCAUGACAUCCACAGAACUUUCCAGAGAUGGAUUGGUGCCUUCGGGAACUGUGAGACAGGUGCUGCAUGGCUGUCGUCAGCUCGUGUUGUGAAAUGUUGGGUUAAGUCCCGCAACGAGCGCAACCCUUAUCCUUUGUUGCCAGCGGUCCGGCCGGGAACUCAAAGGAGACUGCCAGUGAUAAACUGGGGGAAGGUGGGGAUGACGUCAAGUCAUCAUGGCCCUUACGACCAGGGCUACACACGUGCUACAAUGGCAUAUACAAAGAGAAGCGACCUCGCGAGAGCAAGCGGACCUCAUAAAGUAUGUCGUAGUCCGGAUUGGAGUCCGCAACUCGACUCCAUGAAGUCGGAAUCGCUAGUAAUCGUAGAUCAGAAUGCUACGGUGAAUACGUUCCCGGGCCU